RNAcentral lists this ribosomal RNA (253 nucleotides) under uncultured bacterium. Its description in RNAcentral is "partial 16S ribosomal RNA". It matches the Rfam family "Bacterial small subunit ribosomal RNA", at positions 524 to 776 of the family's 1533-position model. The record is from RNAcentral.
UACGUAGGGUGCAAGCGUUGCUCGGAAUCAUUGGGCGUAAAGGGUUGGUAGGUGGUCUCAUUUGUCGGAGGUGAAAGCCUUGGGCUUAACCCAAGAAGUGCCUCCGAAACGGUGAGACUAGAGUUCUGGAGAGGCUAGGGGAAUUCCCGGUGUAGCGGUGAAAUGCGUAGAGAUCGGGAGGAACACCAGAGGCGAAGGCGCCUAGCUGGACAGAUACUGACACUCAACAACGAAAGCGUGGGGAGCAAACAGG